Molecule: ribosomal RNA, 253 nt
Filed under: uncultured bacterium
Lineage: Bacteria
Description: partial 16S ribosomal RNA
Rfam family: Bacterial small subunit ribosomal RNA
Source: RNAcentral
GACAGAGGGGGCAAGCGUUGCUCGGAAUCACUGGGCGUAAAGGGCGCGUAGGCGGGAUGGCAAGUCGGUCGUGAAAUCCUUCGGCUCAACCGAAGAACGUCGGCCGAUACUGCCGUUCUUGAGGGAUGCAGAGGAGAUUGGAAUUCCCGGUGUAGCGGUGAAAUGCGUAGAUAUCCGGAGGAACACCGGUGGCGAAGGCGGCUUCCUGGACCGACACUGACGCUGAGGCGCGAAAGCUAGGGGAGCAAACGGG